GUUUUAAUAAUUUAAUAUUAAAAUACUGGUCUUGUAAACCAGAAAUAAGAACACCUUUUAAAACA
This 65-nucleotide transfer RNA is filed under the name Oryctes borbonicus. It matches the Rfam family "tRNA". From Rfam's summary of the family: Transfer RNA (tRNA) molecules are approximately 80 nucleotides in length. Their secondary structure includes four short double-helical elements and three loops (D, anti-codon, and T loops). The record is from Rfam by way of RNAcentral. Lineage: Eukaryota; Metazoa; Arthropoda; Insecta; Coleoptera; Scarabaeidae.